Molecule: unclassified non-coding RNA, 216 nt
Filed under: Hevea brasiliensis (rubber tree)
Lineage: Eukaryota; Viridiplantae; Streptophyta; Magnoliopsida; Malpighiales; Euphorbiaceae
Source: RNAcentral
GGAUAAAAUUUAUGUGGUUAAUACAAUUAGCUGAAAACAAAUAAAGAUAAAACUACUGAUUUUAAUCCUCAGUUCUAAACAAGUUCAUAAUGUAGAAGACCUUUCAAUUUUUUUUUAGGUCAUAACCAUAAAAACCUAGCCUAAAUGGUCUUUCUGCACAGUACAACAUGCAAAUUCAAAUCAAGCAUUAAAACAAGUAUAUCAAGAAAAAGAGAA